CAAUGCGCGAAAGCGUGAUGGGGUUAUCCCGAGUGCCGUCCGAUGAGGAUGGCUUUUUAUCGAUGUAAGGAUUCGAUAGAAUAAAGGGGGGGCAAGACUGGUGUCAGCCGCCGCGGUAAUACCAGCCCCCUGAGUGGUAAGGACGAUUAUUUGGCCUAAAGCGUUCGUAGCCGGCUUAUCAAGUCUUUUGUUAAAUCCAACGAUUCAAUCGUUGGGCCGCAAAAGAUACUGUUAUGCUAGAGGACGGGAGAGGUCGACGGUAGUCCAGGGGUAGGGGUGAAAUCCUAUAAUCCUUGGAGGACCACCAGUGGCGAAGGCGUCUUACCAGAACGGGUCCGACGGUGAGGGACGAAAGCUGGGGGCACGAACCGGAUUAGAUACCCGGGUAGUCCCAGCCGUAAACGAUGUUCGCUAGGUGUCAGGGGCGGUGCGACCGCUUCUGGUGCCGUAGGGAAGCCGUGAAGCGAACCACCUGGAAGUACGCCGCAAGGC
RNAcentral lists this ribosomal RNA (492 nucleotides) under uncultured archaeon. RNAcentral describes it as "bacterial SSU rRNA". It matches the Rfam family "Archaeal small subunit ribosomal RNA", at positions 353 to 849 of the family's 1478-position model. The record is from RNAcentral.